AGAAGAAAUCUAUUGUUAGAAGGGUGCUGUGUCUGUGUGUAAAGAGGGGUUUCUAGAUGCUGACAACUUUGUUCUCUUCUAAUUGUGCUCCACUACCCUUAAAAGCUAGAAAGCCUUGUGGACAGUUGAGCUGACUCUUUAAAUCUCCCUUUUGCAUAGAAGGAUGUUUAAAAUGAGGAAUAGUUAACCUCUUACUGCUUUCAGAGCUGCUUGUACUUUCUGCUCCUACUAAUCAAUGGUAUCUGAAAUAAACCCUUGUACUCCUUUUGUCCCUGUUUGCUUUGAGUAGCUCUGAAGUGUGACACUGGCUAGAAAAUCCCAUGAAAGACCAGCAUUGUGCUUUCCUGUGCAUGAACUUAACAUUAAAUGUGAGUUGUCUGCUGCAGCUCUGUAACUGAGUGGAGAGAACAGCCUCAAUGUGUACAGCAGCUGUAGGAUGAAGGUGCUGGCUGUUGCCUCAUUCCAGAGCAUCUGACUCUGACUUUGUUCCAGAGAAUCAUGGUGGGCAGCAAAGAAGAAACAUUUUGGCUGUGCUGACUAAAAAUCAGACUGCUGACUCAUCACCAAAGCAUGGAAGGAGAGAUGGGAGCCUGACAUUGCAAACCAGCCUCUUGCUGCCCUCCGAGUAUUAAAACUCACAAACAGCAGCUAGUUAUACAGUAAUGGAGAUUAAGAAAAAAGGAAUUCGCUGAAGACCUCAACAGUCUGGGAAGUCUCUUGUUUAAACUCUGUUUUGCACUUCGCUAUUGUAGUUUACUUGAGUUAUUCCAAGCCCAAGGAAGGAGAAGGUGUGCUGCCAACUCACAGGUCAUUAAUUUCCAAACCAUGCUGAAAGGUGCAAAGUUGAGCGUGUUUUUCUUAGUGUUUUACUGUCAACAAAUAUUUGUGUUUGGAAUAUUUCUGUGAAAAGCAGAGAGCAGGGCUUCUCACUGGCUUAGAGCUGCCAGCUGCAGCUUGGUGCGCUGAGGUAUUUGGAAGACCUUAAGGCUGUGUGGGACAUGCCUAACAGGCCGUGGCAGUCAUUAUCAGACUAAGAUUUACAGGAUGAUAACAGAUUCUGUGGUGGUUUUUUUUUGUUGUUUUUUUUUUUUUUUUGGUCAGCUGUAUGCUAAUGCUUUUCCUUUAGUAAAACUUAUCCUCUCCAGUUACUCAGUAGAAAUUCUACGGCCUCCAGGCUGUGAAACUUUGGAGUACGUUCCCUUCCAGCUCUCUUUAAGCUUUGCUGUGCAAUAUUUUGUCUCUUGCAGGUGAUGCUAAUUGUGCUCCAACCAGUGGCCCUUUCCUCUGGGGUUUGCUAAAUUAGGAUAAACCAUCUCUGGCAGAGGCUAGAU
Phalacrocorax carbo (great cormorant) is the source of this 1331-nucleotide non-coding RNA. The record is from RefSeq and is a predicted model, not a curated record. Lineage: Eukaryota; Metazoa; Chordata; Aves; Suliformes; Phalacrocoracidae.